Long non-coding RNA from Lolium rigidum, 1410 nucleotides. RefSeq lists it as uncharacterized. The transcript is spliced from 4 exons. The record is from RefSeq and is a predicted model, not a curated record. NCBI's taxonomy places the organism in Eukaryota, Viridiplantae, Streptophyta, Magnoliopsida, Poales, Poaceae.
UGUUGUGUUCCCAUGCAGAAUACAAGUUUUGAGAUCAGAACUUCCUUUUCCGGAGAAAGCAGGAGAGGCGGAGAAGGAAUAUAAAUUUUGAGGUUCUUUUCUGGCGAAGGAAUAGGAGUAUGAGUUCCAGGUCAAGGACCAGAUCGGCAGCUUCUUCUAGCAGGCAGAAAGAUAAUGUUUUUCGCACAUUUGGUCAAACACAGUAGGCUUCGUUGUGCAAAUAACAAGAACUGAUCCCCACCAUCCAUUGUGUCAGUUUACUGCUGUACAAUUCAGUUUAGUAAUUGGGGAUUUUGUUUGUUUGCUCUGCCAGGGACGGCUGUCUUGCCUUCCUCCACUCCCUCUCGGUAAUAUGCACGUUCUUAGGACAACUAAGUCCCCAUUCGUUUGUUCAAGAUCUACAGACUUAGUCAGUACAUUCGUUUCAUACCCAGAAUACAAAUGCAGCUAGCUAAUUUUCCAGGUGCUGCUUAAUACCCAGAAUGCAUGUUCUGCUUCCAUGUGCUGAAUAUAUGUCAAAUGAUGUGUGUCCUGUUUCAUGUUCUGAUAACAAAUCCUAAUUAUGUUUUGAGAUGUGCUUGGAUGGUUGGCUAUUGUAGACUGUAGUGUGGUGAUCAACCAUUAUUCUGUCAAAUCAUCUAGGGUGCUCACAGUCACAGUGAUGAGCUUGCUGCUGCUUCAAGGCUGGAAGACACCCUAUUCUUUUCAUGUAUAUUAGAUGGAUCGACCGUUGAGUUCGACAUGACUUUAGGAUAUAGUUCAUUAUAAGUGCAAUAUAUAUGGCUGUUAUGCAAGAGUCAGAUUCCACUGAACCCUGAUGCUUUAAGCCUGUGUUUCAUGCAGCUCUGUUUUUCCUUAUCUUUGAUAAAUUUAUACAUUGAAAAUAUAGAUGCUCAAAUUUUGUUCCGUUCACUACCAUGUAUGUAGACUUUCCAGAAUACGGAAUUGACACUCCCUGUUUCAGCCUAAUGGAUUCCUGACAAUAAGCCUCUACCCAGAUGGGAAGAAAAGCGUUCAGGCUAUAACUUUUCAGGGGGUGGGGCGGACAGUGGUCCAGAUGUACAUAUUCAUCAAGAAGCUACCAUGUAUGUAAAUUAAUCAAAGAAAUAAAUAUAAGCUUUCUUUAAGCUUCAGAGCCUCACUGCCACCCCAAAGAUGAACCCUGUUUCCGGGUUGCUGAGGGUGAGUGCCCUAUCCUCUAUCUUGAGACAUUUACCCUGCCCAAAUUAUCAUGUUGCAGAUCACCGUCCGUAGAAUGAUUAAGUAGUGCAACUGUUUUGGUAAAAGAGCAUGAGUCUCUCAUGCGCAUUAUCAUGAGUCUCUCAUGACUCAUGCUCGUUCUGUUUUUAUGAUAAUGACUGUUAUGCAAAGGGUCAGAUUCCCCUAAAUAUCGAAGCUUCAAUAAACCUG